CCGUCGAUAGCUCAGUUGGUAGAAGCGGUGGACUGUAGCAUCAUAGGUCGCUGGUUCGAAUCCGGCUCGACGGA
This 74-nucleotide transfer RNA is filed under the name Rhipicephalus microplus (southern cattle tick). Its description in RNAcentral is "tRNA-Tyr". It matches the Rfam family "tRNA". From Rfam's summary of the family: Transfer RNA (tRNA) molecules are approximately 80 nucleotides in length. Their secondary structure includes four short double-helical elements and three loops (D, anti-codon, and T loops). Further hydrogen bonds mediate the characteristic L-shaped molecular structure. tRNAs have two regions of fundamental functional importance: the anti-codon, which is responsible for specific mRNA codon recognition, and the 3' end, to which the tRNAs corresponding amino acid is attached (by aminoacyl-tRNA synthetases). tRNAs cope with the degeneracy of the genetic code in two manners: having more than one tRNA (with a specific anti-codon) for a particular amino acid; and 'wobble' base-pairing, i.e. permitting non-standard base-pairing at the 3rd anti-codon position. The record is from RNAcentral. Lineage: Eukaryota; Metazoa; Arthropoda; Arachnida; Ixodida; Ixodidae.